UGUAAAUUUAGUUUAUAGAAGCUGCUCAAUGAGAAAUUUUUAAUAGCCGCUUUUGUGCUAAGGUAGCAUAAUAAUUAGUUUUUUAAUUGAAAAAUAGAAUGAAUGCCAUCACCUUUGAGAUUGGUUUAAUAGGCUUAGUCUGAAGUUCAAAUUUUGAUGAAAAUUUCAAAAUAACUAGAUUAGACGAUAAGACCCUAAAAGCUCUCGUACGGGAAAAACAACAUAUUGUAACUGUCUAUUACGUUUAUUGGGGUAAUAAAGAACUAAUUUAUUUUUAAUUUUGUUUUAAGUUGAUCCUUAAGAAUAUCUAAAUAAGCUACUUUAGGGAUAACAGCAUAAUGAUAAUAAGAGCCCUUAUCAGUUUUAUCGCUUAUGACCUCGAUGUUGAAUUAAGACCCGAUUUGUGCAGAAACAAGCCACGGGCUGUCUGUUCGACAGAACUUUUC
This 446-nucleotide ribosomal RNA is filed under the name Lucicutia flavicornis. RNAcentral's name for it is "partial 16S ribosomal RNA". Lineage: Eukaryota; Metazoa; Arthropoda; Copepoda; Calanoida; Lucicutiidae. The record is from RNAcentral.